RNAcentral lists this long non-coding RNA (586 nucleotides) under Prunus persica (peach). RNAcentral describes it as "long non-coding RNA (PPER_LNC006706)". The record is from RNAcentral. Lineage: Eukaryota; Viridiplantae; Streptophyta; Magnoliopsida; Rosales; Rosaceae.
AUGAGAUGCACCAUAGCCAUUGGUGGGGAAGCCAGCAUUGUAGUGAACAGCUUGCAUUGGAGGGCUGUACCUUGGGUAUUGGUACUCAUACACAUGUUGCUGUGGAGGGCUAUGAUUGGCUGGAGCUGGAGCAAUGUGAUUGGCUGGAGCUGGAGCAAUGUGAUUGGCUGGAGCUGGAGCAAAGCUUUGUCCAUGAGGACCAUAGGGUGGACCACGAGGCCCAUGGGACCCAUAAGGCCCAGUAGGCCCAGUAGGCCCAGUAAGCCGAAAAUGCCCUUGAGGCACAUAGGGGCCCUGACCCUGAGGCACAUAGGGGCCCUGACCCUGAGGCACACGUGGGCCACGUGGAUCCUGAGGAACAUGGGGCCCACUUGGUCCACGUGGCACAUUGCCAUGAUUUGGUGAUCCAGUGCUUGGUGGAGCAGCAACACAUUCUUCACCUUCAUCCUCUUCAGCAUUGGCAUUCCCCUUUGGCCCCUUCUUUUUGUUAUUUUUACUUCCACCGCCGCCACCUCCACCACUUUUCUCAACCUCGCAAUCACUUUCACCGCCCUCACUUUUCUUCUCGGCAACCGGUGGAUGGUUU